Molecule: non-coding RNA, 251 nt
Organism: Pelobates cultripes (western spadefoot toad)
Lineage: Eukaryota; Metazoa; Chordata; Amphibia; Anura; Pelobatidae
Source: the annotation of a GenBank genome assembly
GUGAGGGAAUGGGAGACUAGUGGCAGAGUGAGGGAGGGAAGGGGUGACUAGUGACAGAGUGAGGGGAUGACUGGUGACAGAGUGAGGGGGGGGGUGACUGUCACCAGUCACCCCAUCCCUCUCUCUGUCACUAGUUACUCCCUCCCUAACUCUGUCACUGUGUCACCCGCUCCCUCACUCUGUCACUAGUCACCCCCUUACUCUGUCACUGUGUUACCCCUCCCUCUGUCACUAGUCACCCCCUCCCUCAC